RNAcentral lists this ribosomal RNA (324 nucleotides) under uncultured bacterium. RNAcentral describes it as "bacterial SSU rRNA". It matches the Rfam family "Bacterial small subunit ribosomal RNA", at positions 28 to 334 of the family's 1533-position model. The record is from RNAcentral.
GAUGAACGCUGGCGGCGUGCUUAACACAUGCAAGUCGAACGGAGAGCUAUUGACGGAGUUUUCGGACAACGGAUAUAGUUUCUUAGUGGCGGACGGGUGAGUAACGCGUGAGGAACCUGCCUUUCAGAGGGGGACAACAGUUGGAAACGACUGCUAAUACCGCAUGAUGCAUGACCGGGGCAUCCCGGACAUGCCAAAGAUUUAUCGCUGAAAGAUGGCCUCGCGUCUGAUUAGCUAGUUGGCGGGGUAACGGCCUACCAAGGCGACGAUCAGUAGCCGACCUGAGAGGGUGACCGGCCACAUUGGGACUGAGACACGGCCCAA